This 253-nucleotide ribosomal RNA is filed under the name uncultured bacterium. RNAcentral's name for it is "partial 16S ribosomal RNA". It matches the Rfam family "Bacterial small subunit ribosomal RNA", at positions 524 to 776 of the family's 1533-position model. The record is from RNAcentral.
UACGGGGGGGGCAAGCGUUGUUCGGAAUUACUGGGCGUAAAGGGUGCGUAGGCGGCGGAGCAAGUCAGGUGUGAAAUCCCGGGGCUCAACCCCGGAACUGCACUUGAUACUGCUUUGCUAGAGUACUGGAGAGGAGAUUGGAAUUUACGGUGUAGCAGUGAAAUGCGUAGAUAUCGUAAGGAAGACCAGUGGCGAAGGCGAAUCUCUGGACAGUUACUGACGCUGAGGCACGAAGGCCAGGGGAGCAAACGGG